This 220-nucleotide long non-coding RNA is filed under the name Elaeis guineensis (African oil palm). RNAcentral describes it as "long non-coding RNA (EGUI_LNC056212)". Lineage: Eukaryota; Viridiplantae; Streptophyta; Magnoliopsida; Arecales; Arecaceae. The record is from RNAcentral.
GCCCCCACUCCUAUCCCAACUCUUAUGGCUCCGAAGUCUACCAUCUUCCACGUGGCAAACCCUCUUCACCUCACAUCCCAACCUCAUUUUAAAUUCAACAAGCCAGUAAGAUAUGGUCUUCAUGGCCUGAAUGAAAAUGAGACCGAGAGCGGGAAAUGGUGAGCGUGUGUGGAUUCAAAACUGCUAGCUUCACGCGGAUGUGCAGCGGACUGACACGCAC